Molecule: ribosomal RNA, 255 nt
Filed under: uncultured bacterium
Lineage: Bacteria
Description: partial 16S ribosomal RNA
Rfam family: Bacterial small subunit ribosomal RNA
Source: RNAcentral
UACGUAGGGUGCAAGCGUUAAUCGGAAUUACUGGGCGUAAAGCGUGCGCAGGCGGUGAUGUAAGACAGUUGUGAAAUCCCCGGGCUCAACCUGGGAACUGCAUCUGUGACUGCAUCGCUGGAGUGCGGCAGAGGGGGGAUGGAAUUCCGCGUGUAGCAGUGAAAUGCGUAGAUAUGCGGAGGAACACCGAUGGCGAAGGCAAUCCCCUGGGCCUGCACUGACGCUCAUGCCACGAAAGCGUGGGGAGCAAACAGG